AAUGAGCCAGCUAUUAUGAUUAAAUCAAUUCGCCUACUAAGCCUACUACUAAUCGCAUCUCGAGUGCGCGGUAUGCUUAUAGGUGGAAAAUAAGCUGAGAAAUCUUCCACUAGAUUAAGAAAACCCGCGCAAGCCGCGGGUUUUUUU
Molecule: regulatory RNA element, 147 nt
Organism: Moellerella wisconsensis ATCC 35017
Lineage: Bacteria; Pseudomonadati; Pseudomonadota; Gammaproteobacteria; Enterobacterales; Morganellaceae
Rfam family: Leucine operon leader
About the family: At least 6 amino acid operons are known to be regulated by attenuation.
Source: Rfam